AGGUACGAUCAUACCAGCACUAAUGCACCGAAUUGCAUGAGACCUCCGCCGUUAAUCGUGCUUGGGAGAGAGUAGUACUUGGAUGGGUGACCUCCUCGGAAGUGCUUGUGUUGUUCCUC
RNAcentral lists this ribosomal RNA (119 nucleotides) under Lupinus angustifolius (narrow-leaved blue lupine). The record is from RNAcentral. Lineage: Eukaryota; Viridiplantae; Streptophyta; Magnoliopsida; Fabales; Fabaceae.